This 85-nucleotide transfer RNA is filed under the name Planctomyces sp. RNAcentral's name for it is "tRNA-Leu". It matches the Rfam family "tRNA". Rfam says of the family: Transfer RNA (tRNA) molecules are approximately 80 nucleotides in length. Their secondary structure includes four short double-helical elements and three loops (D, anti-codon, and T loops). RNAcentral also lists the same sequence under 1 other name. The record is from RNAcentral. Lineage: Bacteria; Pseudomonadati; Planctomycetota; Planctomycetia; Planctomycetales; Planctomycetaceae.
GCCGGAGUGGCGGAAUGGCAGACGCGCUGGAUUCAAAAUCCAGUGGGCUUAAUUGCCCGUGUGGGUUCGAGUCCCACCUCCGGUA